Molecule: ribosomal RNA, 408 nt
Filed under: uncultured bacterium
Lineage: Bacteria
Description: partial 16S ribosomal RNA
Rfam family: Bacterial small subunit ribosomal RNA
Source: RNAcentral
GACGAACGCUGGCGGCGUGCUUAACACAUGCAAGUCGAACGAAGUGGCGAACGGGUGAGUAAUACGUGGGUACCCUUCCCUCCUUUUUGGGAUAAGCCUUGGAAACGGGGUCUAAUACCGCCUAAAGGGGGAUGGGCUCGCGGCCUAUCGGCUUGUUGGUGGGUUGAUAGCCUACCAAGGCGGUGCCGGGUAGCCGGCCUGAGAGGGGGACCGGGAACAUAGGGACGGAGAUACGGCCUAGGGGCCUAAGGGGGGGAGAAGUGGGGGAUAUGGCAGAAUGGGUGAAAGACUGAUGCAGCGAGGCCGAGGGGGGGAUGAAGGCUGUCGGGUUGUAAAGCUAGUGCGCUAUAGAGCGGGUAGGUGGAGAAGAAGCGCCGGCUAACUACGUGCCAGCAGCCGCGGUAAUUC